AUGCCAUUUCCAGCUCAACUCCUCUGGCUCAUUCUGCUCUGGAUCCCGGAUUCCAGUGGUGAUAUUGUGAUGACCCAGACUCCAGCCCCCCUAACCGCGUCCCCAGGAGAGAGUCACCAUCCAGUGCAAAGCCAGUCAGAGUGUUAACACAAGCUACUUACACUGGUACCAACAGAAGCGAGGACAGACUCCUAAGCUCCUGAUCUACAGCACAUCCAGACUGGCCUCUGGGGUCCCAACCUGGUUCAGCGACAGUGGCUCUGGAACUGACUACACUCUUACUAUCAGCAGUUUGGAAGCCAAAAAUGUUGCUGACUUUUACUGUCAACAGUGGAGUAGCAACCCUCCCACACAAUGCUACAGCCUCAUACAAAAACCUCUCCCGGCCCUUAAAUUGUAA
Non-coding RNA from Tachyglossus aculeatus (Australian echidna), 400 nucleotides. NCBI's taxonomy places the organism in Eukaryota, Metazoa, Chordata, Mammalia, Monotremata, Tachyglossidae. The record is from the annotation of a RefSeq genome assembly.